AGAGAGAGCAUGUGCUCCCUAAAAAUAGAACUUUUCAUCUAUGCGCUUCAGUUGAAAGCUACUGAGGACUGGACACAGUGGUUAGGGCAACUGUGGUCUUCAGGAUGACUAUACAUGGUGUCCAAUUAUUCCACCUUUCUCCCUGUUCUAUAUUUUUCUCUAUUAUUAAAUGGACACACUGAAGAAGCUUCUUUGAACAAAGUAUCUCAAGGUGGGCCAAGGCUUUGCUGACUUUUUAAGAUGAUGAACAAGAAUAAAAAGAGGGAGGAUGUGGACCCUCUCUGGAAGGAAACUAGAAACCUGGUCACAAGGGAUACAGAUAAAAAAGAGGUGCUCAGUGACUUCAUUGGCUCAGUCUUCAUUGGCAAGGGCUCUAGCCACACUGCCCAAGUUGCAGAAAUUAAUGGUAAAAACUUGGAGAAGGAAGAUCUGCAUGGUGUAAGUGAAAAUGAGGUUUGAACCAUCUAAAGAACCUGAAGGUGCACAAGUCCAUGAGACACGACAAGAUCCAUCCAUGGGUUCAGAGGGAACUGGCAGAUGAUGUCACCAAGCCACUAUCCAUCGUAUUUGAAAGGUCAUAGCAGUCUGGUGAAGUCCCACUGACUGGAAAAGGGGAAACAUAACCCCCAUUUUCAAGAAUGGAAAAAAAAAGAAGAUCCAGGGAACUACAUGCCAAUCUCACCUCUGUGUCUGGCAAGAUCAUGGAGCAGAUCCUCCUGAAGACCCUAUUAGUGCACAUGGAAAAUAAAGACAAGAUGAUUGGUGGUAACUAACAUGACUUCACCAAGAGCAUGUCAUGUCUGACAAACCUGGUGGCCUUUAAGAUGGAAUUACAGCAUUGGUGGAUAAAGGAAGAGCAACAGACUUCAUCUACCUGGACUUGUGCAAAGCAUUUGACUCUGUUCUGCAUGACAUCCUGGUUGUCAAGGUGGAAAAAAAAAAUGGAUUUGUUGGAUGAACCACUAGCUGGAUAAGGAAUUGGCUGGAUGGCUGCACUUAGAGGGUUGCAAUCAGCAGCUCAAUGUCCAAUUGGAGAUGGUGAUGAGUGGCAUUCCUCAGGGAUUGGUGUUGGGACCGGUGCUAUUUAACAUCUUUGUAAGCAACAAGGACAGUGGGAUUGAGUGCACCUUCAGCAAGUUUGCAGACAACACCAAGCUCAGUGGUGUUGUUGACGCACUAGAGGGAAAGAAUGCCAUCCAGAGGGACCUGAACAGUCUUGAGAAGUGGGUCCAUGCCAACCUCAUGAAGUUCAAGAAGGCCAAGUGCAAAGUUCUGCAUCUGGGUGGAGGCAAUCUCAAGCACAGAUACAGGCUGGGCAGGCAGCCCUGAGGAGAAAGAUGUGACAGUGUAGGUUGACAAAAGAUUCAGCACAAGCUGGCAAUGUGUGCUUGCAUACCAGAAGGCCAACUGUAUCCUGGGUUACAUCAAGAGAAGUGUGACCAGUAGGUCGAGGGAGGUGAUUCUGCCCCUCUACUCUGCUCUCAUAAGACCCCAUCUGGAGUUCUGUGUCCAGUUCUGAAGCUCACAUCAGAAGAAGUACAUGGAGUUGUGAGGGCAGGUCCAGAGGAGAGCUACAAAGACAGGACAGGCUGAGAGAGCCGAGGCUCUUGAGUUUGGAGAAGGCUCUGAGGAGACCUUCUAGUGGCCUUCCAGUACCUGAAGGGAGCCUACAGAUAAGCUGGGGAGGAACAUUUUAAAAGGCCAGGUAGAGAGAGGAUGAGAGGAAAUGGUUUUAAACUGGAAAAGGAUAGAUCUAGAGUACAUAUUUGGAAGAAACUCUUUACUGUGAGUGUGGUGAGACAGUGGAACAGGUUGCUCAGUGAGGUUGUGAAUGCCCCCUCCCUGGAAGCAUUCAAGGACAGGCUGGGUGAGGCUUCGAGCAACCUGGUCUUGAGGGAGGUGUACCUCCCCAUAGAGGUGGGGUUGGAACUAGAUGAUCUUAAAGGUCCAUUCCAACCCAAACCAUUCUAUGAUUCUAAAAGAUUAAUUUUAAAUAGAUAUUUUUGUAUUCAAUGUCUAUAGUGCUAUGGGAAGAUAUUGCGGGAAAAAGGUUGUUCGGCUGUAUCUGCCUACAGUGGCAGAUACAGCAGAACAAAUUAAGAUUACAAACAACAGACAACUGCGCUGAGAGUGGGGGAUGUGUUUGUUUUUCUUUCAGUACCAUGUUAUGUAAUUAGAUUGCUUAUUCCAAAGCUUAUGUUUAUUGAAAACACCCAAAGAGUUUCUGAGCAUUUUUACUGACAAGAUUUUAAGAAUUUGAUUCAUUAGUCUGUGCAUUUCUACUAGAUUUUACAAAACUGAAAACUGAUGGAUGUUCUAGUCAUAGGUAUUAUGGUAGGAAUGAAGGUCACAUAAAUCUUUACCUUGUUUUUCUGGAAAGUGUUGAAUAGUAGAUACUUGAUGCUAUUUUACUUUCAUAACAUGGGAAUUCUCAGGAUGAGAAUAAUCCAUCAACCUGAAAAAAGACAAGUGAGUAAACUACUUUCCCUGUGUCCUGGAGAGGCUGUAAUACUUGUGGAUAGUGGACAGUGCUAUGUAUGCUUUCCUUCUUAUCUGUGGCUAUGCAAUGUCAUGUGACCUUGACUCAUUUCUGUUUAACACAGUGCAUCUUAUGCCUUAGAGAGAACAAAUGAGUAGUAUUUAAAAGUCACAGUACCUACUUUACAAACAAAAUAACCCAAACUGUUACUUAAUCAAGAUAAGAAGCAAAGGUCUGUGUGUGGCAACAUCUUCCUCUUCUAUCUCAAAGUAAUAUGAACCAUAUAAUAAUCUCAUGUACACAGAUGAAAGAUGCAGGAAAGGUCUGGCCACACAGAAACCUGUGGAUUUUUUUUUUUUUAUUUGUUUGUUUGAAUUUGUUUUUUAAUCAUCCUCCAUGAUAUGAAUACUUGAAAUAUAUGAGUGCUUCUGCAGGUUGCCUGGAUAAAAUUAUUUGGAAAUGAGCUCAGCAUUUCUAGAACUGGAACAUCAAAUAAUAGCAACAACUGUUCAUUCCAUCACAGUUUUUAAGAGAGUUACUCUAAAAUGAGAACCCAGGAUAAUCUCUAAGUAUUUGAUACUGAGCUAACCUGAGGAGCUAUGAUACCUGAUAUGAAGCACAAGCCUUUCAAAAAUUUUUAAAAAGGGAGGGAAAUUAUGUUAAAAAUGACCAUAAAGACAAAAAGACAAAAACAACAGUUUUAUUUCUUUAUCUCUCUUAUACUUUUUAAAUUUUCACUGUAAAUUGCCUUUAAAGGAAAAAGAAAGGAAAUAUUUUAGUUCUAUGCCAUUUGCUGACCUUAUCCCUUAUGUUUGCUUCUGCCAGCAAGCAUGCACGUUGAAAACUGUCCAACAGAGCCGCUUGCCUAGUCUUUGCUGAGCGUGUCUUCUUUAGAAGUUACCUUGCACAAAGCCAAUAUGUCUGAUGUCCUUUAUGUAAAUGAAUCGAUGCAGAUAAAUCAUGAAAAUAAUAAACAAAAAGUUAACCGCUAAUACAGAUCAAGUAAGACAAUUUAAUCUACAUCUUUAUCUAUUAUUUGUCUAUCUGUGAAUAAUCCACUCACAGCAGAAUAGAAGAAUUAUUCUAAUAUUUCUUUUUAAAUUUUAUGUGUGUUUUUUUUCCUUUUUCUUUUUCUUGAGAAUCAGUCACUUUUUGUUUUUUCUAUGCUAUUAAACAGUAUCAAGGUAAUUUAAUGUACAUAUACAAUUAAAUGACAUAAAGAAAAUAAGGUUACUUUUCAUUUUACGUGAUACUUGGUUGGAAAUAGUUUGAUCAUUAAAUUGAACUUGCUAUGUGUGAGAAGCCAAACAUACAGACACAUCCAUUUUAUUUUCUGCUAUCCAACGGGCAAAUGUUAAACAUACUGCAUAUUAUAUAGGUUUCCUAGCAAAUAUA
Molecule: long non-coding RNA, 3874 nt
Organism: Gallus gallus (chicken)
Lineage: Eukaryota; Metazoa; Chordata; Aves; Galliformes; Phasianidae
Exons: 2
Source: RefSeq, a predicted model, not a curated record